This 777-nucleotide ribosomal RNA is filed under the name uncultured Neocallimastigales. Its description in RNAcentral is "partial large subunit ribosomal RNA". It matches the Rfam family "Eukaryotic large subunit ribosomal RNA", at positions 26 to 645 of the family's 3401-position model. Lineage: Eukaryota; Fungi; Neocallimastigomycota; Neocallimastigomycetes; Neocallimastigales. The record is from RNAcentral.
CGCAUCUGUGCAUGCAGUAUAUCAAUAAGCGGAGGAAAAGAAACUAACAAGGAUUCCCUUAGUAACGGCGAGUGAAGCGGGAAGAGCUCAAAUUUGAAAUCUUCAAGGUUUUACCUUGACGAAUUGUAGUUUAAAGAAGUGUUUUCCUGUUGAAGUUUUGGUAAAAGUUCUUUGGAAUAGGACAUCAUAGAGGGUGAGAAUCCCGUAUUUGACCAUUAUUUUCAGCUGUGUGAUACACUUUCAAAGAGUCGGAUUGUUUGGGAAUGCAGUCCAAAAUGGGUGGGUAGAUUUCAUCUAAAGCUAAAUAUUGGCGAGAGACCGAUAGCGAACAAGUACCGUGAGGGAAAGAUGAAAAGAACUUUGAAAAGAGAGUUAAACAGUACGUGAAAUUGUCAAAAGGGAAGCGUUUGACACCAGUGUUGUUUUCUCGAAAAUCAAUUAAAAAGAGUUAGAUUUUGUUGUGUAUUGACCUUAACAGCUUGCAUUUCAAUUUUCUUGCUUUUUUUAAUGCACUUUUCGUUUAACAAGUCAACAUCAGUUUCUUUUGUUGUAAAAAGGUCAUUGGAAGGUGGCUUUCUUUUCGGAGAAAGUGUUUAUAGCCUUUGACUCCUGCAAUCGGAGAGACUGAGGUCUGCAGCGUAGAUCCUUCGGGGUUAGAUACAUUUGUGCUAAGUUAUAGCUUUUCUAUAGACAACUUGUUGGACUAUGAUUAGUCUUGUAGCUUACUCGCUUAUGCUAUUUUACCUACGCUUAGGAUGUUGAUGUGAUACUGCGAGC